RNAcentral lists this long non-coding RNA (320 nucleotides) under Volvox carteri. Its description in RNAcentral is "long non-coding RNA (VCAR_LNC003010)". Lineage: Eukaryota; Viridiplantae; Chlorophyta; Chlorophyceae; Chlamydomonadales; Volvocaceae. The record is from RNAcentral.
CAGUAUCGCCAUCCGCUCGUCAGGCACACAACAGCGACUUAGUUCCUUCGCCGUCUCAAGCCUCUUCGUGCCUCUCCACAAGGAGUGUGCAACAAUAACGUACGUCUCAACCCCACACGCCUUGUGGCAAUCGGCAGUGCCCUCACUUGAUUUCACGCCCCUAUAGCAGGCCUCUCCCCCUUCCUCGUGCCGCCUGCUGUUGCUGUUGCCGCUUCAGGCCAGUCCCCGCUCCCGCAUUACACGCAUCAUGGUGGAACCCAUUUGUGCGGGCGACCGGGUCACUGUGACGCCAGCGGACUCCAGCGCCUCGAUUUUGUCCG